RNAcentral lists this ribosomal RNA (493 nucleotides) under uncultured Escherichia sp. RNAcentral describes it as "bacterial SSU rRNA". It matches the Rfam family "Bacterial small subunit ribosomal RNA", at positions 30 to 510 of the family's 1533-position model. Lineage: Bacteria; Pseudomonadati; Pseudomonadota; Gammaproteobacteria; Enterobacterales; Enterobacteriaceae. The record is from RNAcentral.
AUUGAACGCUGGCGGCAGGCCUAACACAUGCAAGUCGAACGGUAACAGGAAGCAGCUUGCUGCUUUGCUGACGAGUGGCGGACGGGUGAGUAAUGUCUGGGAAACUGCCUGAUGGAGGGGGAUAACUACUGGAAACGGUAGCUAAUACCGCAUAACGUCGCAAGACCAAAGAGGGGGACCUUCGGGCCUCUUGCCAUCGGAUGUGCCCAGAUGGGAUUAGCUAGUAGGUGGGGUAACGGCUCACCUAGGCGACGAUCCCUAGCUGGUCUGAGAGGAUGACCAGCCACACUGGAACUGAGACACGGUCCAGACUCCUACGGGAGGCAGCAGUGGGGAAUAUUGCACAAUGGGCGCAAGCCUGAUGCAGCCAUGCCGCGUGUAUGAAGAAGGCCUUCGGGUUGUAAAGUACUUUCAGCGGGGAGGAAGGGAGUAAAGUUAAUACCUUUGCUCAUUGACGUUACCCGCAGAAGAAGCACCGGCUAACUCCGUGCCA